GAAGGGGUGUAUUUAUUAGAUAAAAAACCAAUGCCCUUCGGGGCUCUUUGGUGAUUCAUGAUAACUUAACGGAUCGCAUGGCCUUGCGCCGGCGACGGUUCAUUCAAAUUUCUGCCCUAUCAACUUUCGAUGGUAAGGUAUUGGCUUACCAUGGUUUCAACGGGUAACGGGGAAUUAGGGUUCGAUUCCGGAGAGGGAACCUGAGAAACGGCUACCACAUCCAAGGAAGGCAGCAGGCGCGCAAAUUACCCAAUCCCGACACGGGGAGGUAGUGACAAUAAAUACUGAUACAGGGCUCUUUUGGGUCUUGUAAUCGGAAUGAGUACAAUUUAAACCCCUUAACGAGGAACAAUUGGAGGGCAAGUCUGGUGCCAGCAGCCGCGGUAAUUCCAGCUCCAAUAGCGUAUAUUAAAGUUGUUGCAGUUAAAAAGCUCGUAGUUGAACCUUGGGCCUGGCUGGCCGGUCCGCCUCACCGCGUGUACUGGUCCGGCCGGGCCUUUCCUUCUGGAGAGCCGCAUGCCCUUCACUGGGUGUGUCGGGGAACCAGGACUUUUACUUUGAAAAAAUUA
RNAcentral lists this ribosomal RNA (569 nucleotides) under Zopfia rosatii. RNAcentral describes it as "SSU rRNA". It matches the Rfam family "Eukaryotic small subunit ribosomal RNA", at positions 195 to 768 of the family's 1831-position model. The record is from RNAcentral. Lineage: Eukaryota; Fungi; Ascomycota; Dothideomycetes; Zopfiaceae.